Molecule: long non-coding RNA, 2342 nt
Filed under: Sus scrofa (pig)
Lineage: Eukaryota; Metazoa; Chordata; Mammalia; Artiodactyla; Suidae
Description: lncRNA (ENSSSCG00005039635.1)
Source: RNAcentral
AGACUGUAGAAGGCCUGGGCUUGGGCCCUGGUUUUGCCACUGACAAAAUCCUGAGUGACUUGAGCUAAUCUGUGCCUUCCUCUGGGCCCCAUUGGCUACCUGGCACUAGGGGGUGGACAGAAUAAUGUUAGGCUUUCCUGGCUCUGGUGGCCUCUGAGUCAGAGGACUUUGUGCUCAGUGCAGGAACAGGGAACUCACUCUCAUCUGUAAGCGCAAAGUGAGCCUGCAGUAGUCAUCCGUGUUUAAGUGACUUGCACCAGUGCUGGCUGGAGAUUCAGCUACUGUUCAUACAUUUGGUCUUUGUGGACUGAAUCAGUUGCCCAUUUUACAGAUGAGGAAGUUGAGGCCUAGGAUUCAUUCAUGUAUCCUAGUCCCUGUUCUCCCAGCAAUAAGGAUCAGGGCCCUUGUCUGUAGUAUUCUUACUGCCUGUUCACUUUUUAUCUUCACUGACGUGUUAAUCUUUUCAUAACCCUACUAGGGAGGAGAUAUUGACCCAGUUUUACAGAUGAGGAAACUGAGGCUUGGCCUAGAGAGAUGAAAUGACUUUCUCUUCUUCGAGCCUCACAGUAGCCCUAAGAUUGUUAUGUGUGCCAUUUUCUAGAUGAGGAAACUGAGGCCUGGAAAUGUGACUGCUUAUGGCCUGGAGUCCCCAGGGGCCACGUGGCCAGUGAGGCUCCUUCCCAGGCCCCCCCUCCUACUCCUUUCUGGUACCUGGCUGGUUCUGCCUUGGAGGGAGCCUCUGCACCUCUUGCAUUCAAAGCUUGGACUCGGAGAAGAGUUUUCUUCCUGGGCUGUAACCUGUCCCUGAAACAUGCUCUUCCCCAAGGGGCUCCAGAAGCAGUUAGAGCCAAGGAGCUUCUCAGGGAACUCCAAUGGAGGUACCACACCGGUGGGAAUGGAUUUAUUUAUUCUGCUGAACUGGUUAAGCAAGCAGCCUGUUUCUUUCCAGCCUUAGCAAGGAUAUCAUCUGGGUCCAGUUUAUUUGCCAAACAAAGAAUAUAUACACUCGGUAUAUGUGAGCCUUCAGGGUGGGGCAUGGCCCUUAAUUUUCCUUCUUUAGUGGCUGUGGUUGGGUUGAGCCUUUGGUGGAUACUCGGUAAAUACUAGUUAAUUUGGGUGGAGUGGCAAAGCGAUAUGGAUUCUUUUUUUUUUUUUUUUUGUCUUUUGUCUUUUUAGGGCCACAUCUACAGCAUAUGGAGGUUCCCAGGCUAGGGGUCGAAUCAGAGCUACAGCUGCCGGCCUACACCACAGCCGCAGCAAUGCAGGAUCCAAUCUGUGUCUGCGACCUACACCAGAGCUCAUAGCAACACUGGAUCCUUAACCCACUGAGUGAAGCCAGGGAUUGAACCUGCAACCUCAUGGUUCCUAGUCAGAUUCGUUUCUGCUGUGCCACAAUGGGAACUCCGACUUUCUUUUCUUUUUCUAAAUAUAGUAGCUCUUUGGAGUUCCCAUUAUGGAUCAGUGGGUUACAAACCCACCUAGUAUCCAUGAGGAGGCAGGUUCGAUCCCUCGCCUUGCUCAGUAGGUUAAGGAUCUGGUGUAGGCCGGUAGCUGCAGCUCCGAUUUGACCCAUACCCUGGGAACUUCCAUAUGCCACAGGUGCAGCCCUGAAAAAGGGGAAAAACAGCUGUUCAUCAUAGAAAAUUUAGAAAAUAAAAAAGUAUAUAAAAAAAGAACUAUAAUUCUGCCAACAUGACAUAAUCACUGCAAACAUUUGGGCCUGUUUCCUUCCUGAUAUUUUCAGCACUUUUUUUUUUCCCCGCCCACAUAAUUGUGGUCAUAUCGUGUUUGUAAUCAUCUAUUCUGACUCUUCAUUUUUUUCCAACAUUAUAACAUAAAUAUUUUCUCACGUUAUUUAGGACUUUAAUUUUUUAAAGAGUUUUAAAAUUAUACUAUAUCCAAGUAGAUAAAUGUGUGUUUAUUUAAAAAAUCUUUUAUCCCAGUACUCUGGGGAGUUAAAGAAAUGAAAUAAUGCAUUUUAUUUGUAAAAACAGGUUUUAUGCUUUGUUUUUAAAAUGAUGAUGGCUGGCCUGCUUUUUAAGAAUCAUUCUUUAUUAUUAUAUCUAUCGUGUAAAUGGCUCACUUAACUGAUUCUCUUAUUAGUAGGCAUUCAGACUGUUUAUAAACAGUGCUGUGAUUAACAUCCUAGUGCAUAAAUUAAUCUUCUUCCAUUAUUUUCUAGAACAAAGUCCAAGAAAUGGAGUCGUUGGGUCAAAAAUGACAUGUUUCCAUCUUUUGUUACAUUUUGCCAAAUUGCAGCUGUGGUGUAGGUCACUGUUGGGGCUCAGAUCCUGUGGCUGUGGCUGUGGGAUAGGCCAGCAGCUCCAGCUCCAAUUUGACCC